UACGUAGGGUGCAGGCGUUAAUCGGAAUUACUGGGCGUAAAGCGUGCGCAGGCGGCUUGCUAAGACAGGUGUGAAAUCCCCGGGCUUAACCUGGGAACUGCGCUUGUUACUGGCGUGCUGGAGUGUGGCAGAGGGAGGUGGAAUUCCACGUGUAGCAGUGAAAUGCGUAGAGAUGUGGAGGAACACCGAUGGCGAAGGCAGCCUCCUGGGCCAGCACUGACGCUCAUGCACGAAAGCGUGGGGAGCAAACAGG
RNAcentral lists this ribosomal RNA (253 nucleotides) under uncultured bacterium. Its description in RNAcentral is "partial 16S ribosomal RNA". It matches the Rfam family "Bacterial small subunit ribosomal RNA", at positions 524 to 776 of the family's 1533-position model. The record is from RNAcentral.